UACAGAGGGUGCAAGCGUUGCUCGGAAUCAUUGGGCGUAAAGGGUAGGUAGGUGGUCUCGUUUGUCUGGGGUGAAAGCCCAGGGCUUAACCCUGGAAGUGCCCCAGAAACGGCGAGACUGGAGUCUUGGAGAGGGUCGUGGAAUUCCCGGUGUAGCGGUGAAAUGCGUAGAGAUCGGGAGGAACACCAGCGGCGAAGGCGGCGACCUGGACAAGUACUGACACUCAACUACGAAAGACGUGGGGGAGCAAACAGG
RNAcentral lists this ribosomal RNA (255 nucleotides) under uncultured bacterium. RNAcentral's name for it is "partial 16S ribosomal RNA". It matches the Rfam family "Bacterial small subunit ribosomal RNA", at positions 524 to 776 of the family's 1533-position model. The record is from RNAcentral.